GCAUCGAUGAAGAACGCAGCGAAAUGCGAUACUUGGUGUGAAUUGCAGAAUCCCGCGAACCAUCGAGUCUUUGAACGCAAGUUGCGCCCCAAGCUGUUAGGCUGAGGGCACGUCUGCCUGGGUGUCACG
Molecule: ribosomal RNA, 129 nt
Filed under: Acronychia imperforata
Lineage: Eukaryota; Viridiplantae; Streptophyta; Magnoliopsida; Sapindales; Rutaceae
Description: partial 5.8S ribosomal RNA
Rfam family: 5.8S ribosomal RNA
About the family: 5.8S ribosomal RNA (5.8S rRNA) is a component of the large subunit of the eukaryotic ribosome. It is transcribed by RNA polymerase I as part of the 45S precursor that also contains 18S and 28S rRNA. Functionally, it is thought that 5.8S rRNA may be involved in ribosome translocation.
Source: RNAcentral